Molecule: long non-coding RNA, 454 nt
Organism: Schistocerca gregaria
Lineage: Eukaryota; Metazoa; Arthropoda; Insecta; Orthoptera; Acrididae
Exons: 3
Source: RefSeq, a predicted model, not a curated record
UGGAUUCCACCUGGUGAGCGAAGAAACUUCAUAACAACUGCCGCAGGCACACGACACAGCAGUUGCAGGGAAGCCGUGAACAACGGGAGGCUCACAGUAACGCAAGCACCCCAGACAGUGCUGCUGCUCCGUCAUGACUAACAAACUGCUCCUCUGCCUACUGGUGACAGCGAUGGUGCUGGCGGUCGUAACUGCUGGGACAACGCUGCCGAGGUGCUGCCCUUUCGACCCCUGCGCAGCCACGACGUGUCUGCCGGGUUCUGACUGCGUGCCUGAAGUUGUCGUGGAGGACAAGAACCUCGUGUGCAGAGGAAAGUGCGUCGCUCCCUCCAGCUGAAGCUUCUGCCACGCAGAAACAACGUUUUAAUCAGAAAAUUGUGUCAAUACUUGUCCUCUUUGAGUGUUGUACAAAUAAAUUUAAAUUCGCUUAAAUAAAGUUAUCUGUAAAGAGGAA